RNAcentral lists this ribosomal RNA (497 nucleotides) under uncultured bacterium. RNAcentral's name for it is "partial 16S ribosomal RNA". It matches the Rfam family "Bacterial small subunit ribosomal RNA", at positions 28 to 507 of the family's 1533-position model. The record is from RNAcentral.
GAUGAACGCUGGCGGCGUGCCUAAUACAUGCAAGUCGAGCGAACAGAUAAGGAGCUUGCUCCUUUGACGUUAGCGGCGGACGGGUGAGUAACACGUGGGUAACCUACCUAUAAGACUGGGAUAACUUCGGGAAACCGGAGCUAAUACCGGAUAACAUUUGGAACCGCAUGGUUCUAAAGUGAAAGAUGGCUUUGCUAUCACUUAUAGAUGGACCCGCGUCGGAUUAGCUAGUUGGUAAGGUAACGGCUUACCAAGGCGACGAUACGUAGCCGACCUGAGAGGGUGAUCGGCCACACUGGAACUGAGACACGGUCCAGACUCCUACGGGAGGCAGCAGUAGGGAAUCUUCCGCAAUGGGCGAAAGCCUGACGGAGCAACGCCGCGUGAGUGAUGAAGGGCUUCGGCUCGUAAAACUCUGUUAUUAGGGAAGAACAGAUGUGUAAGUAACUGUGCACGUCUUGACGGUACCUAAUCAGAAAGCCACGGCUAACUACGUG